RNAcentral lists this transfer RNA (540 nucleotides) under uncultured Prochlorococcus sp. RNAcentral's name for it is "partial 16S-23S ribosomal RNA intergenic spacer". The stretch from base 212 to 284 matches the Rfam family "tRNA". Lineage: Bacteria; Bacillati; Cyanobacteriota; Cyanophyceae; Synechococcales; Prochlorococcaceae. The record is from RNAcentral.
CAGGGAGACAACAAAAUGUUUAAUAUUAUUAUUUUGUCACCUUAGGUCGAUCGGUAUCUCACGUUUUUAAUUUAUUAAGAAUUUCAUUUCCUAAGUUUUUCUAGGUCACACCCAUUAUUUUUCCUGGGCCAUUAGCUCAGGUGGUUAGAGCGCACCCCUGAUAAGGGUGAGGUCCCUGGUUCAAGUCCAGGAUGGCCCAUAUCUCUAUGUUGGGGGUAUAGCUCAGUUGGUAGAGCGCCUGCUUUGCAAGCAGGAUGUCAGCGGUUCGAGUCCGCUUACCUCCACUGAUUACCACCUCUUCCAUAAUUUUUAGAAGGGAAAUGUUUUGAGUUGUGAUCAAAUUCUGAACGAAUCUAGCUUCCUAAUGAAAUUAUUAAGAUGCUGGACUCAUUGAAUUAAUUUCAUUGUUUUCAGAGAACCUUGACAACUGCAUAGAUUAUUUUUAAAGACAAUAAGCAUCUUUAAUGAUGCAGAUUUAUUAUUUGUGCGAAUGCAUUAAUAACAAUUCUAUUAAGCUGAUGCUUCAAUUUUGAAGUUAUU